GGGAUCGGGGAAAAGGAAAAAAUUGUGAGAAACUAAACAGACGUCACCUUUUUCAUAUUUUUGAGCUUGACUGGAAUCAAGAUUUCACAUGGCACCUCGAGGACAGGAUUAUUAAUAGCCUUUGUGUCAGCCUGAUGGCUUUCCUGAUGGGGGUUCUGUGAGAGUGCUGAGCCCGGAUGCCCAAGGCUUCCACUGCGUGUAAUGAAUUAGCUCCCACUACCACACAGCUAUCCUGGAACUAGCUAAGAACCACCCAUGGGAGAACUGGGAGAAUCGUCAUUUGAAUCAUUUCCUGUGUUCUGUGGUUCAGGUGAAGGAUGCAAGAUGAGAAAGAUGAAAUCCUCUAAUAUGGAAAACAGAUUAGCAGUAGGCAGGGAAUGGCAACCAGAGGUAGAAGAUUUUAAAAAUUAAGGGAAAGGUUUGGUGCAGGGAGGCAAGGUGAGAUCAUGGGCUUUGUAUCAACCCAGCUAUGCUACUUACUGUCUACGCCACAUGAGAAAGUGACUUAGCUUCUAUAAAUCUGAACUUCUUCAUCUGUGAAAUAGAAAUAAUGUAGCCUACUUCCUAAUAUCUGUGUAAAGAUUAAACAGGAUAACAUAUAAG
This 603-nucleotide long non-coding RNA is filed under the name Homo sapiens (human). RNAcentral describes it as "HSALNT0046879". The record is from RNAcentral. Lineage: Eukaryota; Metazoa; Chordata; Mammalia; Primates; Hominidae.